ACUCAAAUGAAUAGACGGGGACCCGCACAAGCGGUGGAGCAUGUGGAUUAAUUCGAUACUAACCGAAGAACCUUACCCAGGUUUGACAUCGAUCGAAAGCCUAAGAGAUUAGGCCCUGAACCACAAGUUCACGUGAAGACAGAUGUUGCAUGGCUGUCGUCAGCUCGUGCCGUGAGGUGUACGGUUAAGUCCGCCAACGAGCGCAACCCUCGUCUUGUGUUACCAGCGAGUAAUGUCGGGGACUCACAAGAGACCGCCGGUGUAAGCCGGAGGAAGGUGAGGAUGACGUCAAGUCAGCAUGGCUCUUACGCCUGGGGCUUCACACAUGCUACAAUGGGCGCAACAAAGGGCAGCGAUAUCGCGAGAUGGAGCAAAUCCCAAAAAUACGCCCUCAGUUCAGAUUGUAGUCUGCAACUCGACUACAUGAAGGCGGAAUCGCUAGUAAACGCAGGUCAGAUAUACUGCGUUGAAUACGUUCCCGGGUCUUGCACACACCGCCCGU
This 502-nucleotide ribosomal RNA is filed under the name uncultured bacterium. RNAcentral describes it as "partial 16S ribosomal RNA". It matches the Rfam family "Bacterial small subunit ribosomal RNA", at positions 899 to 1397 of the family's 1533-position model. The record is from RNAcentral.